UCCGGGGUAGCUCAGCCGGCAGAGCGGGGGACUGUUAAUCCCCUGGUCGCGGGUUCGAGUCCCGCCCCCGGAG
RNAcentral lists this transfer RNA (73 nucleotides) under Aquifex aeolicus. RNAcentral's name for it is "tRNA-Asn". It matches the Rfam family "tRNA". Rfam says of the family: Transfer RNA (tRNA) molecules are approximately 80 nucleotides in length. RNAcentral also lists the same sequence under 4 other names. Lineage: Bacteria; Pseudomonadati; Aquificota; Aquificia; Aquificales; Aquificaceae. The record is from RNAcentral.